UUCACUUGCAUCGUGGGAAAGAAGCCGUGUUUAUAGUAUUGUUUUUAUCCGAUGAAAGUUCCGCCAUCUUCGCGUUGUGUGUCGUUCUUUAUGUUACAUUUUUAUUAAACAUGUUUUCUGAAAUUGUGAAUAACACUAAUUCAUUGUCAUACGUGUGUAUUGACAUUUAAUUUCAAGUAUAUUAUAACUUGUCUAGGAGCUACCUUAAAAGCUUACUAACCUGUAUGCUUACAAUGGCUACACGUGUGUGUAAUUCUAAGUUUGAAUAUGUAACGUAAAACAAAGUGCUCUAAUAUUAGUGGUAGGUGCAGCAUUUUGAAUCGAAAUGUGAUAAUUCGUGGUAUAAGAUUUCAGAGUAUGAUUGAUUAUCAAUUUGUUUCGUCUUAUCAAUACUGCAGUGUUACUUGUGUUGUGUAAAUCUUCCUCAAGGAAUCCAGACCUAGGCCUGCACGCUCACACAGACCAACGAGUAGCCUGGGAGAGGAGUGCGUCAGAGUCAUCUUGAGGCACAAGGACAUAUUCGGUAUGGAUGCUUGCGCAGCGAACUGCCCAACACAAAAUUCUGACGUACUCAGGACAUUCCCCACUUCUUCAGUUCGGUGAGUGAGUAGCUGUCUCACACACCGGCUGUCAGAAAACUGCGUUGCUCAUUGGGAUAAAAGGCUUUGUGGCUCUAAGACGCGCGUAAUGUACGUAUAUGAAGACACACACCUGACGGGAAUCGAGGUCCAUCCAUCAGGUUCCUGGAGAGCUGCCUCGCUGUUUUUGGUUGCUGAAGACCGCUGGUUAUGAAUUGUGAAAGGGAAUAAACAGCCUUGAUCCACCGUAUGGGACCGGCAGGAAAUGCAGAUGGGAGUGGCGGCCUUGCAGCAACAACAAACCGGCCUCAGUUGCGGAAGAGCCUCACGUGAGAUUUUCGAGACACGCCACUGACAACUUAAGCCGAAAGCGGUUUCUUCGAGACUCCGAGCCCCGGACAGACGGACGGACGACCAGAGAGCGGAGCAGGGAAACGCGAGGAGGGGAGAACAAGGCGCGACGCUCUCCGUCGGUAGCGAGCAAUGACAGCUUGAUGUAAUUCGCAGGCUUCUGCGUUACUGUCCCGCCGCUUGAUUGCGGCAGCCAUGAAUGAAGUGUCAUUGUGAUACUUAAUGUGCUCACGGCGACGGCACACAAUUCAAAAUGGGAGCGCAGUCAAAUGAGUGCAUGAUGAGUAUUGUGGGCAUGACACACAGAUGAGCGAUGUGGCUCGGAUUUACGACCGAUGAUAAGUCUCCGGCAAGGAACAUGGAAGAGGCAGGGUAGCUGCAAUUGACUGGCAUAAUUAUUUUCUCGUUGUUUACGCAACUAAAAUAGAACAAAGAGA
Zootermopsis nevadensis is the source of this 1366-nucleotide non-coding RNA. The record is from RefSeq and is a predicted model, not a curated record. NCBI's taxonomy places the organism in Eukaryota, Metazoa, Arthropoda, Insecta, Blattodea, Termopsidae.